UACGUAGGGGGCUAGCGUUGUCCCGGAUUUAUUGGGCGUAAAGAGCGUGUAGGCGGCCAGGUAGGUCUGCUGUGAAAACUCGAGGCUCAACCUCGAGACGUCGGCGGAAACCAUCUGGCUAGAGUCCGGAAGAGGAGAGUGGAAUUCCUGGUGUAGCGGUGAAAUGCGCAGAUAUCAGGAGGAACACCGGUGGCGAAGGCGGGAUCCUGGGCCAGUACUGACGCUGAGGAGCGAAAGCGUGGGGAGCAAACAGG
RNAcentral lists this ribosomal RNA (254 nucleotides) under uncultured bacterium. RNAcentral describes it as "partial 16S ribosomal RNA". It matches the Rfam family "Bacterial small subunit ribosomal RNA", at positions 524 to 776 of the family's 1533-position model. The record is from RNAcentral.